GGGCCCGUAGCUCAGCCGGUUAGAGCACCUGCCUUUUAAGCAGGGUGUCAUGGGUUCAAGUCCCAUCGGGCCCUCCA
Molecule: transfer RNA, 77 nt
Filed under: Candidatus Saccharimonadota bacterium
Lineage: Bacteria; Candidatus Saccharimonadota
Description: tRNA-Lys
Rfam family: tRNA
About the family: Transfer RNA (tRNA) molecules are approximately 80 nucleotides in length. Their secondary structure includes four short double-helical elements and three loops (D, anti-codon, and T loops).
Source: RNAcentral